RNAcentral lists this transfer RNA (75 nucleotides) under Patescibacteria group bacterium. Its description in RNAcentral is "tRNA-Val". It matches the Rfam family "tRNA". From Rfam's summary of the family: Transfer RNA (tRNA) molecules are approximately 80 nucleotides in length. Their secondary structure includes four short double-helical elements and three loops (D, anti-codon, and T loops). The record is from RNAcentral.
GGGCGAUUAGCUCAGUGGUAGAGCGACUCUUUGACGUAGAGUAGGCCGAAGGUUCGAUCCCUUCAUCGCCCACCA